ACCUGGCUGUCUCAGUCGGCAGAGUGUGUGACUCUUGAUCUUGGGGUCCUGGGUUCAAGCCCCAUGCUGGGUG
This 73-nucleotide transfer RNA is filed under the name Felis catus (domestic cat). It matches the Rfam family "tRNA". From Rfam's summary of the family: Transfer RNA (tRNA) molecules are approximately 80 nucleotides in length. Their secondary structure includes four short double-helical elements and three loops (D, anti-codon, and T loops). The record is from Rfam by way of RNAcentral. Lineage: Eukaryota; Metazoa; Chordata; Mammalia; Carnivora; Felidae.